RNAcentral lists this ribosomal RNA (402 nucleotides) under uncultured bacterium. RNAcentral describes it as "bacterial SSU rRNA". It matches the Rfam family "Bacterial small subunit ribosomal RNA", at positions 206 to 623 of the family's 1533-position model. The record is from RNAcentral.
GGAUUUUUCCGCCUAGAGAGAAGCUUGCGGCUGAUUAGCUUGUUGGUGAGGUAAUGGCUUACCAAGGCGACGAUCAGUAUCUGGUUUGAGAGGACGAUCAGACACACUGGAACUGAGACACGGUCCAGACUCCUACGGGAGGCAGCAGUGGGGAAUUUUCCGCAAUGGGCGAAAGCCUGACGGAGCAAUCUCGCGUGAGGGAUGACUGCCUAUGGGUUGUAAACCUCUUUUUUCAGGGAGGAAUCAAUGACGUGUACCUGAAGAAUAAGCAUCGGCUAACUCCGUGCCAGCAGCCGCGGUAAGACGGAGGAUGCAAGUGUUAUCCGGAAUCACUGGGCGUAAAGCGUCUGUAGGUGGUUUAAUAAUUCAACUGUUAAAUCUUGAAGCUCAACUUCAAAAUCG